GAUUAACGCUGGCGGCGCACAUAAGACAUGCAAGUCGAACGGACUUAAUCGAUUCUUUUAGAUUCGAAGCGGUUAGUGGCGGACUGGUGAGUAACACGUAAGCAACCUGCCUAUUAGAGGGGAAUAACAGUGAGAAAUCAUUGCUAAUACCGCAUAAGCUAGAGACACCGCAUGGAGUAGCUAGAAAGGGAGAAAUCCGCUAAUAGAUGGGCCUGCGUCCGAUUAGCCAGUUGGUGGGGUAACGGCCUACCAAAGCGACGAUCGGUAGCCGAGCUGAGAGGCUCAACGGCCACAUUGGGACUGAGAUACGGCCCAG
Molecule: ribosomal RNA, 316 nt
Filed under: uncultured bacterium
Lineage: Bacteria
Description: bacterial SSU rRNA
Rfam family: Bacterial small subunit ribosomal RNA
Source: RNAcentral